UGGGGAAUAUUGCACAAUGGGCGCAAGCCUGAUGCAGCGACGCCGCGUGAGGGAUGAAGGCCUUCGGGUUGUAAACCUCUUUCAGCAGGGAAGAAGCGCAAGUGACGGUACCUGCAGAAGAAGCGCCGGCUAACUACGUGCCAGCAGCCGCGGUAAUACGUAGGGCGCAAGCGUUGUCCGGAAUUAUUGGGCGUAAAGAGCUCGUAGGCGGUCUGUCGCGUCUGCUGUGAAAACUCGAGGCUCAACCUCGGGCUUGCAGUGGGUACGGGCAGACUAGAGUGCGGUAGGGGAGACUGGAAUUUCCUGGUGUAGCGGUGGAAUGCGCAGAUAUCAGGGAGGAACACCGAUGGCGAAGGCAGGUCUCGUGGGCCGCAACUGACGCUGAGGAGCGAAAGCAUGGGGAGCGAACAGGAUUAGAUACCCUGGUAGUCCAUGCCGUAAACGUUGGGCAC
Molecule: ribosomal RNA, 452 nt
Filed under: uncultured Actinomycetes bacterium
Lineage: Bacteria; Bacillati; Actinomycetota; Actinomycetes
Description: bacterial SSU rRNA
Rfam family: Bacterial small subunit ribosomal RNA
Source: RNAcentral